UACGUUUUCUCAAAUGAUUUGAUUUAUUUUUGCAGGUCUCGAUUUUAUGCGAAAACGCCAUUUUUGCCAGGGUCAAAUUUGGAAAGGAAGCGUUGGUGGUCCUUUCUACAACUUUCAGGAGCAGGGCAUCCAAGGCGAGAUAAAAUUUAUCGAAAUCAGUGGCAUCUAAAGCAAUUACCAAGAGGCUCUCUCGGUUCCAGCGAAGGCAAACAUGCAGAAUGUAAAGUCGGCUUCUGUGAACUGCCUCGUCCAAGACGCGUAGCCAAAGCAGGUGACCUCAUCUCGUGCAGAAGCGAAUCCUUCAUCCUGCGAGUGAUGCAACCGAUCAAGAAUUCUGUCCAUUGAAAUAUUGCUCAAUCAAAACUAUGCAAUAAACGCUGUAUACUCACCGUAAA
Long non-coding RNA from Cloeon dipterum, 395 nucleotides. RefSeq lists it as uncharacterized. The transcript has 2 exons. Lineage: Eukaryota; Metazoa; Arthropoda; Insecta; Ephemeroptera; Baetidae. The record is from RefSeq and is a predicted model, not a curated record.